This 207-nucleotide ribosomal RNA is filed under the name uncultured bacterium. RNAcentral describes it as "partial 16S ribosomal RNA". It matches the Rfam family "Bacterial small subunit ribosomal RNA", at positions 568 to 774 of the family's 1533-position model. The record is from RNAcentral.
AGCGUAGACGGCAAGGCAAGUCUGAUGUGAAAGGCGGGGGCUCAACCCCUGGACUGCAUUGGAAACUGUUAGUCUUGAGUGCCGGAGAGGUAAGCGGAAUUCCUAGUGUAGCGGUGAAAUGCGUAGAUAUUAGGAGGAACACCAGUGGCGAAGGCGGCUUACUGGACGGUAACUGACGUUGAGGCUCGAAAGCGUGGGGAGCAAACA